Molecule: long non-coding RNA, 1037 nt
Organism: Gasterosteus aculeatus aculeatus (three-spined stickleback)
Lineage: Eukaryota; Metazoa; Chordata; Actinopteri; Perciformes; Gasterosteidae
Source: Ensembl
CUUCUUCUCAUGUAGAGUUAGGAUGAUUUUAUUUACAAUCGGGACAGUGUUUGGAUAAAUGGGGUGGGUCAAUUUGGUGUAGUAUUUGGGAUCAUUAAGCUGUCUGUAGCCUUCCCAUAAAUAUUGCUCCCUGUCCAAGAUCACUAUAGAGCUGCCCUUAUCUGCUGGUUUAAUAACUAUGUGUUUGUUAUUAACUAGUUCAUCAAGUGCCCGCACUUCCUCCCUACUGAGGUUAGGCGGCACGUGGUGAAUUUUGAAGUGUGUGUUAAAAUACCGAAUGUCUGAUUGUAUUAGAGCAGUUAUGGUGUGUGGUAUUUGUGCCUGUACAGGAGCCCAGGACGAUUUAUAAAUGAACGGGAGUCGUUCACACUCUCUCGAGUUUUCAAAAUAAGCCGCCAGCUUUAACCUCCUGUGAUACUGCUGUAGAUCAAAGCGGCUCUGCUCCACAAUCUGUUUAUUAGUUCCCUUUAGUGGGAAUGAAAUUUAACCCCCUGCCAAGGAGAGUGCGCUGUGCUUCGGUGAGUUUAAAGUUCUUGGUGAGGUUGAUGACUAACUUAUCCCCCUCCUGAGUAGGCAGGUUUAUGGGGACAAUUAGUUUAAGUAGUGCACCCAAUGGUCAAAUAUGCGGGCAGCUGUGGCUCGGGUCCAGUGGAUGUUAUCCGGACCUGUGUGGAAGAGACCUGCUGGCAACGCUGGGAUGUACUCACACAUUUUUGCAAUAGCAGUGUUGAGAUGUGUGAGGCGCAGUUUCUCCUUCGGGGGAAGAUCUCCGGAGAAGUUGACCUGUGGCACAAAAACGUCAGCAGAUGGAAAAGUCAGUUGAACGCUUCUGAGGGCCCUCUGCAGCUGUUUGAUGGCCGUCUCCUGCGUUUUUUGGACCCGGUUAUUAAUGCCGAAGGCCAAAAUGACCUUCUGCACCGUGACCUCAGAGGUCGUCUUGUUCAUCAGGAGAUCUGCGUUUCUGAAGGUGCCCCCUGGAAAAGCAUCCACCUGCAGAUCCUCGAUGUCGUGGGCUGGAAGUUUGUACACAUUGGAGU